CGGAGGGUGCAAGCGUUGUCCGGAUUUAUUGGGUUUAAAGGGUGCGCAGGUGGGUAUUUAAGUCUGGUUUGAAAGCAGGUGGCUCAACCAUCUGAUGUGGCUGGAAACUGGAUAUUUUGAAUGGGUUGGCGGUAGCCGGAAUGGGUCAUGUAGCGGUGAAAUGCAUAGAUAUGACCCGGAACACCGAUUGCGAAGGCAGGCUACUACGACUUGAUUGACACUGAGGCACGAGAGCAUGGGUAGCGAACAGGAUU
RNAcentral lists this ribosomal RNA (254 nucleotides) under uncultured bacterium. RNAcentral describes it as "partial 16S ribosomal RNA". It matches the Rfam family "Bacterial small subunit ribosomal RNA", at positions 526 to 779 of the family's 1533-position model. The record is from RNAcentral.